This 450-nucleotide ribosomal RNA is filed under the name uncultured bacterium. RNAcentral's name for it is "bacterial SSU rRNA". It matches the Rfam family "Bacterial small subunit ribosomal RNA", at positions 354 to 796 of the family's 1533-position model. The record is from RNAcentral.
GUGAGGAAUAUUGGGCAAUGGGCGAAAGCCUGACCCAGCCACGCCGCGUGAGUGAUGAAGGCCUUCGGGUUGUAAAGCUCUGUGGGGAGGGAAGAAAAAGCGGGAGAGUAACUGCUCUCGUGUUGACGGUACCUCCUUAGCAAGCACCGGCUAACUCUGUGCCAGCAGCCGCGGUAAUACAGAGGGUGCAAACGUUGCUCGGAAUUACUGGGCGUAAAGCGCGUGUAGGCUGACAUGCAAGUCGGGUGUGAAAUCCCAGGGCUCAACCUUGGAACUGCACUCGAAACUGCACGUCUUGAGUACUGGAGAGGGAAGCGGAAUUCCGGGUGUAGAGGUGAAAUUCGUAGAUAUCCGGAGGAACACCAGUGGCGAAGGCGGCUUCCUGGACAGUAACUGACGCUGAGACGCGAAAGCGUGGGGAGCAAACAGGAUUAGAAACCCUUGUAGUCC